This is a long non-coding RNA of Cynoglossus semilaevis (tongue sole), 1340 nucleotides long. RefSeq lists it as uncharacterized. The transcript has 2 exons. The record is from RefSeq and is a predicted model, not a curated record. NCBI's taxonomy places the organism in Eukaryota, Metazoa, Chordata, Actinopteri, Pleuronectiformes, Cynoglossidae.
UUAUAAUGGAAAUAAAGCAAACGAUUUAUCAUUCAAGAGACCAGGAGUGACCAGCUGUCAGUCUUGUGGUGCACUGAAACAACAGAUAUACUGGUGUCUGAAAAUGACAACCUCUAAACCUGAAGAAAAAAAAAUGACAACCACUCAGCCCCAAAUUGUCAAUCAGGUUAGACAGUUUUAGGCGCAGGUCUAUACUGGAUUUGAGUUCAUGUGAAUGUGCAGACACGGUGGUGUGGUGGAGUGUUUGUCUGCAGAAUACAGCACAUUACGAGAAAAGUCUGUUCCUGUUUAUUUUACCACUGGUUGUGGUAAGUUAAUAAGGUGUUGGGGUAACAGUCAUACUGCUAAUGGUAAUGAAGCACAAUCCAUCACCACCAGAAAUGAACUAGUCUAUGGUUUUAGAUUUGAAAACUGUCUGAGACCUUCUCUCUGAGGCAGAGCAGGUUUGGUCCAGACCAAUGUUUAGGUCCACAGACCUAACCGUGGGCAUCAACACCAUGACAGGCGGUCUGAGCACACACCUGAAUUUACAUUUGCUCAUGUAAAUACAACAAGCACACACAGGCUUAUAUUCACAUCAAUUAUCAAGUGUCUCUUUUGACUUUAGACUGGGAGCCAAGUCUGUCCAUUUGAGAACCUAAUUGUACAGUGAGGUGCAAGAGUGUAGUCACUGAAGGCAAGUCUGAAAAAACUCAAGUAGAGUUAGCACAGUUGACACAAGGCAUUGUGUUUGACAUGGUUAAAAAAAUAAAAGUUUUCUCUAUUUUUGACCAAAGGGAACCAGAGGUAAUGAUGGAUUUUUACUAUUAUGGUCUGUCCUGUGCUGUGCAUUAUUGCGUGAAGGAUGCAGACCUCACAGCGUGACUAAAUACAGAGUUCUCUGAACAGUCACUGAUUGCAGCGGAAACACACACACAUUUACUGGUAAAUAGUUGUGGUAUUAGCUCAAGUGAAAUGUUUAUAAAAAUGAAUUAAUUCAUCAACAAUUCAGACGUACAAAACUGUCAAUGGCUACAGCCAGAUGCUAGUUUCAAAUGUUUCACACCGACUUGUACAAAGAAUUAAAAUGUGGACAUAGACAGGGAAGCAGGCAAACAUCCCGAGUGUCCUGUUGCUGUUUAUUUUCCUUAGUGUAACUAUAAACACAACAACUAGUAACAGCAGAGCUACAAGGCAAGAGUGGAAGAAAUACUUUUUAGCUGAAAUGAUUUGUUCACUCACAGUUCUGGGAGGAAAACUUGUGGUUGAUGUCUGACAGACGGUCACGGCCUUCAGGGAAUAUGCAGAGUUGCUGACUGUGUUUUUUUUCCUUAAAAUUUUAUUGUCUUUUUUCCAAGUAA